GUGGCUUGUAUAUAGAUAACAUUUUGACACCUAAUGAGUUUUAGUAUCACAAAAUUCUCAUUCAAUACCCUUAGCCUUUAAUCACAUUCAUCUCUUUCAUAUCACCGAAUGAACGAAAGAAAAAAAAGAGAGAGAAACACCGUGAGAGAGAGAAGAGAACGAAACCAUGGAACCGUGAGUUUUCAACUUCGAUUACUUGCGAUCCGUAAUUCCAAUAAAAAAUCUAAUCCGAUAAAAGUGUCCGUAUCAUUCUCUUCUGCACGUUAGCGUUAUUUUUGUUUGGUAAAAGUUGACGGUGACGUAGCUCCUCUUCCCCUUGAGUUCGGCCAACUGGAGUUCUAGGAGACACAGAUGAUUUCUGACAUUUUUCUUUUCAGCAGCUCGGUCAAAAGUUUCUCCAAAACUUUUGAGGAUUUUGAUUUCAUACGGAGUGACACAGGUUCAGAGAUUCAGUAAGAAGCUGCAGACGAUUCGUAGAUUUACUUGUGAUUCCUGUUGUUUUUAUAGAGUUCCCUCGUCCUUGUUGCUUUAGGGUUUUUAUUUUAUCCAGAGGGAUAGGUAUUGUAUUUGAGUUUUACAUUGAAUUUAAUCGUAUAACCUCUAUUAUUAUUAGUAAUUAUGUGAUUGUUAUUAUUU
Non-coding RNA from Arachis ipaensis, 636 nucleotides. Lineage: Eukaryota; Viridiplantae; Streptophyta; Magnoliopsida; Fabales; Fabaceae. The record is from RefSeq and is a predicted model, not a curated record.